CCUACGGGAGGCAGCAGUGGGGAAUAUUGGACAAUGGGCGCAAGCCUGAUCCAGCAAUGCCGCGUGAGUGAUGAAGGCCUUAGGGUCGUAAAGCUCUUUUACCAGGGAUGAUAAUGACAGUACCUGGAGAAUAAGCUCCGGCUAACUCCGUGCCAGCAGCCGCGGUAAUACGGAGGGAGCUAGCGUUGUUCGGAAUUACUGGGCGUAAAGCGUACGUAGGCGGUUAUUCAAGUCAGAGGUGAAAGCCCGGGGCUCAACCCCGGAACGGCCUUUGAAACUAGGUAGCUAGAAUCUUGGAGAGGUCAGUGGAAUUCCGAGUGUAGAGGUGAAAUUCGUAGAUAUUCGGAAGAACACCAGUGGCGAAGGCGACUGACUGGACAAGUAUUGACGCUGAGGUACGAAAGCGUGGGGAGCAAACAGGAUUAGAUACCCUGGUAGUCCACGCCGUAAACGAUGAUAACUAGCUGUCCGGGCACUUGGUGCCUGGGUGGCGCAGCUAACGCAUUAAGUUAUCCGCCUGGGGAGUACGGUCGCAAGAUUAAAACUCAAAUGAAAUUGACGG
This 562-nucleotide ribosomal RNA is filed under the name uncultured bacterium. RNAcentral's name for it is "bacterial SSU rRNA". It matches the Rfam family "Bacterial small subunit ribosomal RNA", at positions 338 to 916 of the family's 1533-position model. The record is from RNAcentral.